This 496-nucleotide ribosomal RNA is filed under the name uncultured bacterium. RNAcentral describes it as "partial 16S ribosomal RNA". It matches the Rfam family "Bacterial small subunit ribosomal RNA", at positions 29 to 507 of the family's 1533-position model. The record is from RNAcentral.
AUGAACGCUGGCGGCGUGCCUAAUACCUGCAAGUCGAGCGAACAGACGAGGAGCUUGCUCCUCUGACGUUAGCGGCGGACGGGUGAGUAACACGUGGAUAACCUACCUAUAAGACUGGGAUAACUUCGGGAAACCGGAGCUAAUACCGGAUAAUAUAUUGAACCGCAUGGUUCAAUAGUGAAAGACGGUUUUGUUGUCACUUAUAGAUGGAUCCGCGCCGCAUUAGCUAGUUGGUAAGGUAACGGCUUACCAAGGCAACGAUGCGUAGCCGACCUGAGAGGGUGAUCGGCCACACGGGAACUGAGACACGGUCCAGACUCCUACGGGAGGCAGCAGUAGGGAAUCUUCCGCAAUGGGCGAAAGCCUGACGGAGCAACGCCGCGUGAGUGAUGAAGGUCUUCGGAUCGUAAAACUCUGUUAUUAGGGAAGAACAAAUGUGUAAGUAACUAUGCACGUCUUGACGGUACCUAAUCAGAAAGCCACGGCUAACUACGUG